RNAcentral lists this ribosomal RNA (467 nucleotides) under uncultured bacterium. Its description in RNAcentral is "partial 16S ribosomal RNA". It matches the Rfam family "Bacterial small subunit ribosomal RNA", at positions 28 to 506 of the family's 1533-position model. The record is from RNAcentral.
GACGAACGCUGGCGGCGUGCUUAACACAUGCAAGUCGAACGGAAAGGCCCUGCUUUUGUGGGGUGCUCGAGUGGCGAACGGGUGAGUAACACGUGAGUAACCUGCCCUUGACUUUGGGAUAACUUCAGGAAACUGGGGCUAAUACCGGAUAGGAGCUCCUGCUGCAUGGUGGGGGUUGGAAAGUUUCGGCGGUUGGGGAUGGACUCGCGGCUUAUCAGCUUGUUGGUGGGGUAGUGGCUUACCAAGGCUUUGACGGGUAGCCGGCCUGAGAGGGUGACCGGCCACAUGGGGAAUGGGAUACGGCCCAGACUCCUACGGGGGGCAGCAGGGGGGAAUAUUGCACAAUGGGCGGAAGCCUGAUGCAGCAACGCCGGGGGGGGGAUGACGGCCUUCGGGUUGUAAACCGCUUUCGCCUGUGACGAAGCGUGAGUGACGGUAAUGGGUAAAGGAGCACCGGCUAACUACGU